GACGAACGCUGGCGGCGUGCUUAACACAUGCAAGUCGUACGGUAAGGCCCUUUCGGGGGUACACGAGUGGCGAACGGGUGAGUAACACGUGAGUAACCUGCCCACAACUUUGGGAUAACGCUAGGAAACUGGUGCUAAUACUGGAUAUGUGCUCCUGCUGCAUGGUGGGGGUUGGAAAGCUCCGGCGGUUGUGGAUGGACUCGCGGCCUAUCAGCUUGUUGGUGGGGUAGUGGCCUACCAAGGCGGCGACGGGUAGCCGGCCUGAGAGGGUGACCGGCCACAUUGGGACUGAGAUACGGCCCAGACUCCUACGGGAGGCAGCAGUGGGGAAUAUUGCACAAUGGGCGCAAGCCUGAUGCAGCAACGCCGCGUGCGGGAUGACGGCCUUCGGGUUGUAAACCGCUUUCAGCAGGGACGAAGCUUUUUGUGACGGUACCUGCAGAAGAAACACCGGCGAACUACGG
RNAcentral lists this ribosomal RNA (464 nucleotides) under uncultured bacterium. RNAcentral describes it as "partial 16S ribosomal RNA". It matches the Rfam family "Bacterial small subunit ribosomal RNA", at positions 28 to 506 of the family's 1533-position model. The record is from RNAcentral.